RNAcentral lists this non-coding RNA (46 nucleotides) under Trichobilharzia regenti. Lineage: Eukaryota; Metazoa; Platyhelminthes; Trematoda; Strigeidida; Schistosomatidae. The record is from RNAcentral.
CACUGGCUGACGAGUCCCACAAUAGGACGAAAUACUUGUCAUAGUG